UGUUCACCAUGGCAUGUUUGUGAAUGUAAAGUCCACUGGAAUGUGGCAGCGCUUCUGC
Molecule: ribosomal RNA, 58 nt
Filed under: Catenaria anguillulae
Lineage: Eukaryota; Fungi; Blastocladiomycota; Blastocladiomycetes; Blastocladiales; Catenariaceae
Description: partial large subunit ribosomal RNA
Source: RNAcentral